This 66-nucleotide non-coding RNA is filed under the name unclassified sequences. The record is from Rfam.
GGGCACCUACGGGGGCCUUUACCACAUAGGCCUCGCAAGAGGCCGCCAAGCAAACGGAAGAAGCUA